Molecule: ribosomal RNA, 819 nt
Filed under: Nocardiopsis alborubida
Lineage: Bacteria; Bacillati; Actinomycetota; Actinomycetes; Streptosporangiales; Nocardiopsidaceae
Description: bacterial SSU rRNA
Rfam family: Bacterial small subunit ribosomal RNA
Source: RNAcentral
CGGGUGAGUAACACGUGAGCAACCUGCCCCUGACUCUGGGAUAAGCGGUGGAAACGCCGUCUAAUACCGGAUACGACCCGCCACCUCAUGGUGGAGGGUGGAAAGUUUUUCGGUCAGGGAUGGGCUCGCGGCCUAUCAGCUUGUUGGUGGGGUAACGGCCUACCAAGGCGAUUACGGGUAGCCGGCCUGAGAGGGCGACCGGCCACACUGGGACUGAGACACGACCCAGACUCAUGCGGGAGGCAGCAGUGGGGAAUAUUGCGCAAUGGGCGAAAGCCUGACGCAGCGACGCCGCGUGGGGGAUGACGGCCUUCGGGUUGUAAACCUCUUUUACCACCAACGCAGGCUCGAAGUUCUCUUCGGGUUGACGGUAGGUGGGGAAUAAGGACCGGCUAACUACGUGCCAGCAGCCGCGGUAAUACGUAGGGUCCGAGCGUUGUCCGGAAUUAUUGGGCGUAAAGAGCUCGUAGGCGGCGUGUCGCGUCUGCUGUGAAAGACCGGGGCUUAACUCCGGUUCUGCAGUGGAUACGGGCAUGCUAGAGGUAGGUAGGGGAGACUGGAAUUCCUGGUGUAGCGGUGAAAUGCGCAGAUAUCAGGAGGAACACCGGUGGCGAAGGCGGUUCUCUGGGCCUUACCUGACGCUGAGGAGCGAAAGCAUGGGGAGCGAACAGGAUUAGAUACCCUGGUAGUCCAUGCCGUAAACGGUUGGGCGCUAGGUGUGGGACUUUCCACGGGUUCCGCGCCGUAGCUAACGCAUUAAGCGCCCCGCUGGGGAGUACGGCCGCAAGCUAAAACUUCAAAGAUUGACGGGGGCCCGCA